Molecule: long non-coding RNA, 341 nt
Filed under: Elaeis guineensis (African oil palm)
Lineage: Eukaryota; Viridiplantae; Streptophyta; Magnoliopsida; Arecales; Arecaceae
Description: long non-coding RNA (EGUI_LNC005482)
Source: RNAcentral
AUGUCUCAAUAAAUUCAACAAUGAUUCAUAGUCCUUACAUCAAAUUCAAUAAGACUUUCAACCGAAAAUAAAAGUAUAGAGAUUCUGCUUCUGAUCACUCUUUCAUUUAUAUCUUGUAUCAUCUUAAUUCCUCAACAUCUGUAAAAACAGUAAAAUAAGAGGUAAUGAGCUAGACAGCCCAGUAAGCAAUGAUCACUUCUCAACAGAUUUCAUCAGGCAUUUAAGUAAAUAAUCAUUUAUAGAAAAUAAGCAUAUAGAGUUCAUCAAUCCGAAAUCAAUUUCAAUUAUGCAACAUAAUUCAUGCCAAAUACAUUUCUUUUUCGAAAAUUCAAGUUUCUUUC